GAUGAACGCUGGCGGCGUGCCUAAUACAUGCAAGUCGAGCGAACAGACGAGGAGCUUGCUCCUCUGACGUUAGCGGCGGACGGGUGAGUAACACGUGGAUAACCUACCUAUAAUACUGGGAUAACUUCGGGAAACCGGAGCUAAUACCGGAUAAUAUAUUGAACCGCAUGGUUCAAUAGUGAAAGACGGUUUUGCUGUCACUUAUAGAUGGAUCCGCGCCGCCUUAGCUAGUUGGUAAGGUAACGGCUUACCAAGGCAACGAUGCGUAGCCGACCUGAGAGGGUGAUCGGCCACACUGGAACUGAGACACGGUCCAGACUCCUACGGGAGGCAGCAGUAGGGAAUCUUCCGCAAUGGGCGAAAGCCUGACGGAGCAACGCCGCGUGAGUGAUGAAGGUCUUCGGAUCGUAAAACUCUGUUAUUAGGGAAGAACAAAUGUGUAAGUAACUAUGCACGUCUUGACGGUACCUAAUCAGAAAGCCACGGCUAACUACGUG
RNAcentral lists this ribosomal RNA (497 nucleotides) under uncultured bacterium. RNAcentral's name for it is "partial 16S ribosomal RNA". It matches the Rfam family "Bacterial small subunit ribosomal RNA", at positions 28 to 507 of the family's 1533-position model. The record is from RNAcentral.